UACGAAGGGGGCUAGCGUUGUUCGGAAUUACUGGGCGUAAAGCGUGCGCAGGCGGCUAUCCAAGUCAGUGGUGAAAGCCCGGAGCUCAACUCCGGAAUUGCCAUUGAAACUGUUUAGCUUGAGUACGAGAGAGGUGAGUGGAAUACCCAGUGUAGAGGUGAAAUUCGUAGAUAUUGGGUAGAACACCGGUGGCGAAGGCGGCUCACUGGCUCGUAACUGACGCUCAGGCACGACAGCGUGGGGAUCAAACAGG
This 253-nucleotide ribosomal RNA is filed under the name uncultured bacterium. RNAcentral's name for it is "partial 16S ribosomal RNA". It matches the Rfam family "Bacterial small subunit ribosomal RNA", at positions 524 to 776 of the family's 1533-position model. The record is from RNAcentral.